Molecule: ribosomal RNA, 232 nt
Filed under: uncultured bacterium
Lineage: Bacteria
Description: partial 16S ribosomal RNA
Rfam family: Bacterial small subunit ribosomal RNA
Source: RNAcentral
UGGGCAACCUGCCCCUCUCUCUGGGAUAACCCCGGGAAACCGGAGCUAAUACCGGAUACUCCGGCUGGAUCGCAUGGUCCGGCCGGGAAAGGUCCGCCGGAGAGGGAUGGGCCCGCGGCCUAUCAGCUUGUUGGUGAGGUAAUGGCUCACCAAGGCGACGACGGGUAGCCGGCCUGAGAGGGCGAUCGAUUACACUGGGACUGAGACACGGCCCAGACUCCUACGGGAGGCA